This 460-nucleotide ribosomal RNA is filed under the name uncultured bacterium. RNAcentral describes it as "partial 16S ribosomal RNA". It matches the Rfam family "Bacterial small subunit ribosomal RNA", at positions 338 to 795 of the family's 1533-position model. The record is from RNAcentral.
CCUACGGGUGGCAGCAGUGAGGAAUAUUGGUCAAUGGACGAGAGUCUGAACCAGCCACGUAGCGUGAAGGAUGACUGCCCUAUGGGUUGUAAACUUCUUUUAUAUGGGAAUAAAACGUUCCACGUGUGGGAUUUUGUAUGUACCCUAUGAAUAAGGAUCGGCUAACUCCGUGCCAGCCGCCGCGGUAAUACGGAGGAUCCGAGCGUUAUCCGGAUUUAUUGGGUUUAAAUGGAGCGUAGGUGGAUUGUUAAGUCAGUUGUGAAAUUUUGGGGCUCAACCGUAAAAUUGCAGUUGAAACUGGCAGUAUUGAGCACAGUAGAGGUGGGCGGAAUUCGUGGUGUAGCGGUGAAAUGCUUAGAUAUCACGCAGAACUCCGAUUGCGAAGGCAGCAUACCGGCACGCAACUGACGCUCAUGCACGAAAGCGUGGGUAUCGAACAGGAUUAGAUACCCGAGUAGUC